This 529-nucleotide ribosomal RNA is filed under the name Bacillus pumilus. RNAcentral describes it as "bacterial SSU rRNA". It matches the Rfam family "Bacterial small subunit ribosomal RNA", at positions 31 to 543 of the family's 1533-position model. Lineage: Bacteria; Bacillati; Bacillota; Bacilli; Caryophanales; Bacillaceae. The record is from RNAcentral.
GAACGCUGGCGGCGUGCCUAAUACAUGCAAGUCGAGCGGACAGAAGGGAGCUUGCUCCCGGAUGUUAGCGGCGGACGGGUGAGUAACACGUGGGUAACCUGCCUGUAAGACUGGGAUAACUCCGGGAAACCGGAGCUAAUACCGGAUAGUUCCUUGAACCGCAUGGUUCAAGGAUGAAAGACGGUUUCGGCUGUCACUUACAGAUGGACCCGCGGCGCAUUAGCUAGUUGGUGGGGUAAUGGCUCACCAAGGCGACGAUGCGUAGCCGACCUGAGAGGGUGAUCGGCCACACUGGGACUGAGACACGGCCCAGACUCCUACGGGAGGCAGCAGUAGGGAAUCUUCCGCAAUGGACGAAAGUCUGACGGAGCAACGCCGCGUGAGUGAUGAAGGUUUUCGGAUCGUAAAGCUCUGUUGUUAGGGAAGAACAAGUGCGAGAGUAACUGCUCGCACCUUGACGGUACCUAACCAGAAAGCCACGGCUAACUACGUGCCAGCAGCCGCGGUAAUACGUAGGUGGCAAGCGUUG